UACACAACUCUUAACGGUGGAUCACUCGGCUCGUGGGUCGAUGAAGACCGCAGCAAGCUGCG
This 62-nucleotide ribosomal RNA is filed under the name Geothelphusa aramotoi. RNAcentral describes it as "partial 5.8S rRNA". It matches the Rfam family "5.8S ribosomal RNA", at positions 1 to 57 of the family's 154-position model. Rfam says of the family: 5.8S ribosomal RNA (5.8S rRNA) is a component of the large subunit of the eukaryotic ribosome. It is transcribed by RNA polymerase I as part of the 45S precursor that also contains 18S and 28S rRNA. The record is from RNAcentral. Lineage: Eukaryota; Metazoa; Arthropoda; Malacostraca; Decapoda; Potamidae.